CUUCUGGAGAGCCCAGACUGCAGACUGGAGACCCUCAGGAUCAGAGGUCAUGAGACGAUCAGAGCCAAGAUCCAGAAGAACUGUGACAGGAAGUGAAGACAGACUGAAAGAUGUCCUCCUCUCUUCCUCCUGCUGAUCACCUGCUUCCUCUCAGCCACUUCCUGUGUGUCAUCGUCACUUCCUGUGUGUCAUCAUCACUUCCUGUGUGUCAUCGUCACUUCCUGCCUUGAUCCUGCAACCUGUGAGCUUAAUGAGUCUUCACUGUUUUAAUUAAUCACUGAAUGAAUUGAAUGUAAUGGUUGGUGUUUCUCGUGUUGCUCUGCGCUCCCCUUCCUGACACAUGGGGACUGAUGUUUUAUCUCUAAUGUGCUUUGUGCUAAAUGCUAGCUUUAGCGUGCUAAUGCAUGCUCACUGUAGUGCUGAUGUUUAGCAGGGUCACUGUUUAGUGUUUGAGAUCCUUUCCUGCCGUUAAAGCUCUAAUACUACAGUAAUGUAUUCAAUUAACCCUCCUGUUGUGUUGGGUCAAAUCUGACCGAUCUACUACUUUCAUCAAUCAUAACUUAUUUUG
Molecule: long non-coding RNA, 568 nt
Organism: Trematomus bernacchii (emerald rockcod)
Lineage: Eukaryota; Metazoa; Chordata; Actinopteri; Perciformes; Nototheniidae
Exons: 4
Source: RefSeq, a predicted model, not a curated record